RNAcentral lists this ribosomal RNA (392 nucleotides) under Eocercomonas sp. Its description in RNAcentral is "partial small subunit ribosomal RNA". It matches the Rfam family "Eukaryotic small subunit ribosomal RNA", at positions 587 to 975 of the family's 1831-position model. The record is from RNAcentral. Lineage: Eukaryota; Cercozoa; Cercomonadida; Cercomonadidae.
AGCUCCAGUAGCGUAUAUUAAAGUUGUUGCAGUUAAAAAGCUCGUAGUUGGAUUUCUGGUAUGACAAGAAUGUGGUCACUAUCCGCUAGGACGGUGACCCAGUACUCGUCUACCAUCCUUCUAGAAAGCGCGCCUACCCUUCACUGGGCUGGGCGCGUGCUCUAGAUCUUUUACUUUGAAGAAAUUAGAGUGUUCAAAGCAGGCUUGCGCUAUGAAUACAUUAGCAUGGAAUAAUAACUUAGGACUUUGGUUCUAUUUUGUUGGUCUAUAGAACUGAAGUAAUGAUUGAUAGGGAUAGUUGGGGGUGCUAGUAUUCCGCGGCCAGAGGUGAAAUUCUUGGAUUCGCGGAAGACUAACUUAUGCGAAAGCAUUCGCCAAGGAUGUCUUCUUUA